This 443-nucleotide ribosomal RNA is filed under the name uncultured bacterium. RNAcentral describes it as "partial 16S ribosomal RNA". It matches the Rfam family "Bacterial small subunit ribosomal RNA", at positions 338 to 795 of the family's 1533-position model. The record is from RNAcentral.
CCUACGUGAGGCUGCAGUGGGGAAUAUUGGGCAAUGGUCGCAAGCCUGACCCAGCAACGCCGCGUGAAGGAAGAAGGCUUUCGGGUUGUAAACUUCUUUUGUCAGGGACGAAGCAAGUGACGGUACCUUCCUAAUCAGCCACGGCUAACUACGUGCCAGCAGCCGCGGUAAUACGUAGGUGGCAAGCGUUAUCCGGAUUUACUGGGUGUAAAGGGCGUGUAGGCGGGACUGCAAGUCAGAUGUGAAAACCACGGGCUCAACCUGUGGCCUGCAUUUGAAACUGUAGUUCUUGAGUACUGGAGAGGCAGACGGAAUUCCUAGUGUAGCGGUGAAAUGCGUAGAUAUUAGGAGGAACACCAGUGGCGAAGGCGGUCUGCUGGACAGCAACUGACGCUGAGGCGCGAAAGCGUGGGGAGCAAACAGGAUUAGAUACCCCGGUAGUC